RNAcentral lists this ribosomal RNA (492 nucleotides) under uncultured bacterium. RNAcentral's name for it is "partial 16S ribosomal RNA". It matches the Rfam family "Bacterial small subunit ribosomal RNA", at positions 29 to 507 of the family's 1533-position model. The record is from RNAcentral.
AGUGAACGCUGGCGGUAGGCCUAACACAUGCAAGUCGAACGGCAGCACAGUAAGAGCUUGCUCUUACGGGUGGCGAGUGGCGGACGGGUGAGGAAUACAUCGGAAUCUACUUUUUCGUGGGGGAUAACGUAGGGAAACUUACGCUAAUACCGCAUACGACCUACGGUUGAAAGCAGGGGAUCUUCGGACCUUGCGCGAUUGAAUGAGCCGAUGUCGGUUUAGCUAGUUGGCGGGGUAAAGGCCCACCAAGGCGACGAUCCGUAGCUGGUCUGAGAGGAUGAUCAGCCACACUGGAACUGAGACACGGUCCAGACUCCUACGGGAGGCAGCAGUGGGGAAUAUUGGACAAUGGGCGCAAGCCUGAUCCAGCCAUACCGCGUGGGUGAAGAAGGCCUUCGGGUUGUAAAGCCCUUUUGUUGGGAAAGAAAAGCAGCAGGUUAAUACCCAGCUGUUCUGACGGUACCCAAAGAAUAAGCACCGGCUAACUUCGUG